CUGUGAUGACAGUGUCUGGUCCCGGCGUGGCCGUAUCGUGCGGCCUCAGGACACGGCUGUUCGCAGGACACCCUGACGGAGAGACGACAGCCUGGCGAUGGCAGGAACUUCCCAGAUAGCCAGGCGGCCUUCCUUGGCGCUCCGUGUGGAUCCUCCCCAGCGGGCAUCCGAGAGCUGAGUCAAAGGCUACGACCCGCAGAGGGGAUGAAAGCGGGGUGCCGGGUCGGGACUUGUGACCUGGGAUUUUUGAGUCAGCUUUGGGGACGGGGAGGUCCAGGCUGUGGCCCCUUAGGCCACAUGGUGGCAGAGCCUCACUUUUGUUCACAGUGCUGAGGUGUGCAGGACAGAGCAGCCUCGGGGUGCGUCGUGUCACUUGUCCAUCGUGCCUUCUGUGUUUUUUGUGCCUCUUGUGUUGUAUGUGCCUUCCCUUAUCCCUUCUGGGGGCUUACUAGAAACCCCAGUGUCACUCAUAGCAUCUCUGAUCUCUGGGCUCCUCGGCCCGACGCCAUUGAAGCUUUGCCUCAGGAGCUCUCAGAGGCCUUGGAAUCGCAUCUGUUUUGAAAAGCAUCCGAUCGGAUGUCUUUUAGACGUCUUGUUCCGAGCUGUGUCAACAGCCGUGCACCGCGAGGAUCCAUUGUUGCGGCUUAGGACUUGAAGAAACGCAAAGAUAGGUAGAGGAUUGCUGCCAUAAGAUUCUUGGGCCUCCGUCUUGGCGGUUCCUGGAGUUUGUCAUUCCGUCAGCAUCUUCUUCCUCCCGGGUUCUGCGAGCUUCAUCAGCUCGCCUUCAUUCUCACCCGGCUCAUCUCGUUCUGCAUUCUCUCAGUCCUUGCGGCCGUUCUUGUGGCCCAGAGUUUUGUCUCCCCAUUGUGUCCCCUCGUCUGUUGUCUGGUGUGUCACGGGUGUCUGGGUGUAGUUGUCCCGGAGCUGCUCUGCCCUGCUGCCCAGCCUGGCUGUAGGUGUAAAAGGCCAAGUCCCAGGCCCCUGUAAUUUGAAAUUUGUGAUGUAGGGUGGAGUUGGGGUCUAGAACAUAUUCCUAGAUCAACACAAGAUGUCUGGAGCUGUGAAGUUCCCCUGCAGCACUUUGACUUUUGUCUCAGCUUUCUUUCAGAUGCGGACGGAUGAAAUCGGUGGCCGAGAGCCCCAGCCAGGGUAAGGGGGUUCCCCCAAGAAGGUAAGUCAAUGUUUGUCUUUGCAGGGCAACUGGAACCGGUCACUGUGUUACAGGUCUCCUCUUUGUCUUUAUUUUUAGGAAAUAGAGCCAGCUAGCAGCAGUCAAGGUGAAGUGGGCAAGGCGGUCCAGUCGCGUUUCGUCGAGACCCCGUCGCCGGCCGGCCGGCACGCCUGCUUCGCCGCUCCCGUGAGCCCUGCGGAAGCGUUACAGGGACCGCGUGACGGAGCCUUUUCCACGUAA
Molecule: non-coding RNA, 1411 nt
Organism: Cyanistes caeruleus (blue tit)
Lineage: Eukaryota; Metazoa; Chordata; Aves; Passeriformes; Paridae
Source: RefSeq, a predicted model, not a curated record